UACGUAGGGGGCGAGCGUUGUCCGAAGUUACUGGGCGUAAAGAGCGCGUAGGCGGGUCUUUAAGUGAGGGGUGAAAGGUUCGGGCUCAACCCGGACACUGCCUUUCAUACUGGAGACCUUGAGUGCGGGAGGGGCGAGUGGAAUGGUCGGUGUAGCGGUGAAAUGCGUAGAUAUCGAUCGGAACACCCAUGGCGAAGGCAGCUCGCUGGCCUGCAACUGACGCUGAGGCGCGAAAGCAUGGGGAGCGAACAGG
This 253-nucleotide ribosomal RNA is filed under the name uncultured bacterium. RNAcentral describes it as "partial 16S ribosomal RNA". It matches the Rfam family "Bacterial small subunit ribosomal RNA", at positions 524 to 776 of the family's 1533-position model. The record is from RNAcentral.